CCAGAGCCUGCCCCUGGCUCAGCGCCCGGUGCCAACAGAACACCUUUCAAGAUCCACAGCAACGCAGAAAACGAGUCCAGGAUCCCGGCCUCUGCUUGGAACGGAACAGUGUCAUGGCGGAGACGACGGCCUUUGUCUUGCUGGGUGUGAAAGCAUCCACUGUGCUGGCUCCACUGCGGCAGAAUGAAGUUUAAAGGAAAAAACAGGCUGCAAGUGAAGCGACAAGAGGAAUCCAUUAUGCAAAUCGUGUCACUUUGCAUAAUGUCUCAUGACUAGAAUAUGCAAAUGAGCUGUAUAAUUUAUGAGUACCAGUGUCUGUCUAAAAGUGUUUCACAUAAUUUACAAAGUGGCCUGAGAGACAUGGGGAAGGCAGCUCUUCCAACUCCAUUGCCAGGAAAUGUAUAUUUUUCUACAAGUGCGCCCUAGUAAUAUUGUCAAGUGCUAUUUAAAGUAAAUUAAGUUUCCAAAUGUUCAUGAAAGAUGAAGCUUUUCCUCUCACAUUCUUCACCCAAAUCCUUUGCCUAAAAGUUUUCAAGAAACUAUUAGACUCUAAAGCAUUAAUUUUUAGAUUUAAUUUGGAAAAGGAAAGUUAUUUGAGCAAACUUGAUUAUUUAUAUAUGGAUUUUCCUUUCUAAAGCAAGGAAUGUUUUAGAGAAACAGACACCUUAUCCAUUUGCCUGGGUCUAUGAAAGCAGAAAAAUGGUGUUUCUCAUUUUGGUUCGUUUUGUGUAUGCCCUUCUGUGUGAAAAAUUUUAUAAAUUAUAGCCCCUUGGAUUUAUGAUUAGAUAUGUAAUAUGAAAGAUUGAUGUAUUCAUUGUUCUUUUGAAGGCAUAAUUCUGCUUUCAGAGAAGUCUUCAGAAUAGAACUUAUAUGCAUUAAAGAUCAGA
This is a long non-coding RNA of Molossus molossus (Pallas's mastiff bat), 887 nucleotides long. RefSeq lists it as uncharacterized. NCBI's taxonomy places the organism in Eukaryota, Metazoa, Chordata, Mammalia, Chiroptera, Molossidae. The record is from RefSeq and is a predicted model, not a curated record. The transcript has 5 exons.